Molecule: small RNA, 57 nt
Filed under: Eubacterium sp. CAG:161
Lineage: Bacteria; Bacillati; Bacillota; Clostridia; Eubacteriales; Eubacteriaceae
Description: GA-cis RNA
Rfam family: GA-cis RNA
Source: Rfam by way of RNAcentral
AAUAGGAAUAAUAUAUGACGAGUUGCCGCUGACCGGAGGGAGUGGGCGCAACAUAUU